This 227-nucleotide long non-coding RNA is filed under the name Capsicum annuum. RNAcentral's name for it is "long non-coding RNA (CANN_LNC016203)". Lineage: Eukaryota; Viridiplantae; Streptophyta; Magnoliopsida; Solanales; Solanaceae. The record is from RNAcentral.
AUUUUUGUUUCAGUAUGAAUACAGGAAAAGGAAAAGGCAAGGCAGAAGCCUCAUCAUCCCAAGACUAUCUAAAGACACUAAUGAGCAACACUCGUUUCAGACCACUUACGAUGCUAGAAUAGCCAAAAUUAGAUAGAAUAAUUUUUUAACCCCACAACUUGGUAUGUUACGAACCAUCCAACUUAACUUUCAGACAAAAGCCAGACGUACAAGUGGAUAAGCCGCAG